CCUACGGGUGGCAGCAGUGGGGAAUAUUGCACAAUGGGGGAAACCCUGAUGCAGCAACGCCGCGUGAGUGAAGAAGUAUUUCGGUAUGUAAAGCUCUAUCAGCAGGGAAGAAGAUGACGGUACCUGAGUAAGAAGCCACGGCAAACUACGUGCCAGCAGCCGCGGUAAUACGUAGGGGGCAAGCGUUAUCCGGAUUUACUGGGUGUAAAGGGAGCGCAGACGGCAGUGCAAGUCAGCGGUAAAAUUGCGGGGCUCAACCCCGUACUGCCGUUGAAACUGCAUCCCUUGAGUGCGCGAGAAGUAUGCGGAAUGCGUGGUGUAGCGGUGAAAUGCAUAGAUAUCACGCAGAACUCCGAUUGCGAAGGCAGCAUACCGGCGCGCAACUGACGCUGAUGCACGAAAGCGUGGGUAUCGAACAGGAUUAGAUACCCUAGUAGUC
This 439-nucleotide ribosomal RNA is filed under the name uncultured bacterium. Its description in RNAcentral is "partial 16S ribosomal RNA". It matches the Rfam family "Bacterial small subunit ribosomal RNA", at positions 338 to 795 of the family's 1533-position model. The record is from RNAcentral.